UGGGGAAUAUUGGACAAUGGGGGAAACCCUGAUCCAGCGACGCCGCGUGUGUGAAGAAGGCCUGCGGGUUGUAAAGCACUUUUAGUGGGGACAAAAAGCUACGGAUUAAUACUUCGUGGUCUUGAUUUAACCCAAAGAAAAAGCACCGGCUAACUCUGUGCCAGCAGCCGCGGUAAUACAGAGGGUGCGAGCGUUAAUCGGAAUUACUGGGCGUAAAGCGCGCGUAGACGGUUUUUGUAAGUCAGAUGUGAAAUCCCUGGGCUCAACCUGGGAACUGCAUUUUGAAACUGCAUGGCUAGAGUAUCGAAGAGGGAAGUGGAAUUUCCGGUGUAGCGGUGAAAUGCGUAGAUAUCGGAAGGAACACCAGUGGCGAAAGCGACUUCCUGGUCGAAUACUGACGUUCAUGUGCGAAAGCGUGGGGAGCAAA
This 427-nucleotide ribosomal RNA is filed under the name uncultured bacterium. RNAcentral describes it as "bacterial SSU rRNA". It matches the Rfam family "Bacterial small subunit ribosomal RNA", at positions 355 to 772 of the family's 1533-position model. The record is from RNAcentral.